AACGCUAGCUACAGGCUUAACACAUGCAAGUCGAGGGGCAUCAUGAACAAAGCUUGCUUUGUUCGAUGGCGACCGGCGCACGGGUGAGUAACGCGUAUCCGACCUGCCCAUGACUCGGGCACAGCCGCUCGAAAGAGCGAUUGAUUCCCGAUAUGUCUAUGAAGUAGAUUCAUGGAUGAAAGAUUUAUCGGUAACGGAUGGGGAUGCGUGACAUUAGGUAGAUGGCGGGGUAACGGCCCACCAUGCCCACGAUGUCUAGGGGUUCUGAGAGGAAGGUCCCCCACACUGGAACUGAGACACGGUCCAGACUCCUACGGGAGGCAGCAGUGAGGAAUAUUGGUCAAUGGUCGGAAGACUGAACCAGCCAAGUAGCGUGAAGGAUGAAGGUUCUAUGGAUUGUAAACUUCUUUUAUACGGGAAUAAAGCCCGCUACGUGUAGCGGUUUGUAUGUACCGUAUGAAUAAGCAUCGGCUAACUCCGUGCCAGCAGCCGCGGUAAUACGGAGGAUGCGAGCGUUAUCCGGAUUUAUUGGGUUUAAAGGGAGCGUAGACGGGGGAUUAAGUCAGUUGUGAAAAGGCUGCGGCUCAACCGCAGCACUGCAGUUGAUACUGGUUCCCUUGAGUGCGGUUGAGGUGUAUGGAAUUCGUGGUGUAGCGGUGAAAUGCUUAGAUAUCACGAAGAACUCCGAUUGCGAAGGCAGUACACUAAGCCGUAACUGACGUUGAGGCUCGAAAGUGUGGGUAUCAAACAGGAUUAGAUACCCUGGUAGUCCACACGGUAAACGAUGAAUACUCGCUGUUGGCGAUACAAUGUCAGCGGCCAAGCGAAAGCAUUAAGUAUUCCACCUGGGGAGUACGCCGGCAACGGUGAAACUCAAAGGAAUUGACGGGGGCCCGCACAAGCGGAGGAACAUGUGGUUUAAUUCGAUGAUACGCGAGGAACCUUACCCGGGCUUAAAUUGCAGGGGACAGGCUGAGAGAUCAGCUCUUCUUCGGACUCCUGUGAAGGUGCUGCAUGGUUGUCGUCAGCUCGUGCCGUGAGGUGUCGGCUUAAGUGCCAUAACGAGCGCAACCCUUGCCAUUAGUUACUAACAGGUGAUGCUGAGGACUCUAGUGGGACUGCCAUCGUAAGAUGUGAGGAAGGUGGGGAUGACGUCAAAUCAGCACGGCCCUUACGUCCGGGGCUACACACGUGUUACAAUGGGAGGUACAGCAGGUUGCUUGCCGGUGACGGUUGGCUAAUCCCUAAAUCCUCUCUCAGUUCGGACUGGAGUCUGCAACCCGACUCCACGAAGCUGGAUUCGCUAGUAAUCGCGCAUCAGCCAUGGCGCGGUGAAUACGUUCCCGGGCC
Molecule: ribosomal RNA, 1350 nt
Filed under: uncultured bacterium
Lineage: Bacteria
Description: bacterial SSU rRNA
Rfam family: Bacterial small subunit ribosomal RNA
Source: RNAcentral